GUUCGAUUAGCUUAUUCAUAUAUUUGUUAGCUUCUAAUAUGAUUGGGUCUAUACUUGACAGGAAUCCUCAAAGGUUCAAAAAAAUCUGAAAAAAAUAUAUUUCCACUGGUAAAGACGGUGAAGAUCGCCCGUUUCCAAGACAGCGUAAUGCACUGACUGGUGCAAGAAGACUGGAGCAGCUUUUCGACAAAGCUGAUGAUAUGUCUGUGGACCAACACUCUGCGCACCACCGACAUUAUGCUUGUGAUGACCCUUGGGAAGGUUACAUGAACCUUGGGAGCCCCUCUGGACGUUGCAUCAAAUGUGGUUCCUCUAUGUGGAAGGAGGAACGCAACAAGUCUAGGAAAAACUCACAACCUACAUACUCUCUUUGCUGUAGAGAUGGCAUGGUAUCUCUCCCAUUAGAGAUACAGUUUAACUCAUUGUCAUCAGAUGGAUCUAACGUUCCUUUCUACUCUGUUUAACCCAUUAAUUCUUCUAUUUUAACGUUCUUGGUUUUGAUUAAGGAAAUGAUAAGCUAAGAUCACUCUGUCGGAUAACAUUCACAUGUAUGCUGGAAACUUGCAAAAUACUUUUUAUUGUGAGCUUUGAUUAGGGAGUUGGAAGUGAGCAUGGAGAGUUUCUUCAUCACUGUGACCAAUAAAAGAGGAUGGUGGGCAUGGAAAAAAGGGGUAUUUUGAUGUUAUAUGUGCAGCUAUGAGGUUUUUCUAACCAUAUUGCCCUGAUGUAACAUAUCUAUGUUCAAUCAUUUUUUGUCCGUAUAUUGAUUCUAUUUGUUUGUUAACUUAGAAAUUAUAAAUUCAGUUACAUGGUGCAUAUAUAUUCUGUAGUCUUAAAAAUGAGCUCUUAUGGUAUAUAAAGAAAGGAAUAUAAUUCAAGGAUAGAUUUUCAUUAUUAAAUUUCUCUUAGGUCAUUGUGCUUCUUAAAACUUACACUAAAUCACUAUUUACAGGUCAGUGGGUAUUGAGAUAAAGUAAGCUCGCAAAAUGGUCCAGCCCUCAAAGAUAAUGUAGAAAGCUUCAGUGUUGUUAAUAUAUUAAUGUUCUGCAAUCUAAUAUACUAUAUAUAUAUAUGAGGUAGUAGCUAUACAAAACUUUCUUAAUUGGCAUCGCAAGAUAUCUAUGUGUAUAGGUGAGGGUACUAAGACUUAUACUAAUCCAAGCCAAGAUAGUUCAAGUUGAAGUUAUACAGAAAGUAUAUAUUAUUUCAUUAAGCUCAGAUAUUUAUAAUGUAUUUAGGACAAAAGUUGUUGGUGCUGGAGGAGGAAUUCAUGUCAAAGUUUUGGAGAAGUGGCUGAGACUUGGGCUAUAAUAAAGAUGCUUGAAGUCUUUGUAUAAUAUUCUUCUUUAUUUGCUAAUCAGCAGCAAGUGGCAGAAUCUCUUAACAUGACUGAGUUAUAGUUAUCACAUUUCAGUGUUGAAAGUGAAGGUAUGGCAAGGGAUGUACAACUGUUUUUGUUGUAAACUGGGAUUAACACAUUAUAUAGGUUCUUUUUAUACUAAAAGUAUUUGGAAUUUUUAUUAUUUCUCUUUCGGAGUCCAGUACUUUCCAAAAUCUGAAGAGUAUAUGAUUGUUGCACUCAUAUCUGGGGCGUACAAAAUGUUAUCAGUGACAAGUUUCGUGCUAAUGCAUGGGUGAUGUGGCAGCUAGAGAAGCAUAUGAUGGACGCCUAAAGAUCUUUUGAUUUUGACUUCAUAGUAGGAUAUGAGUUUUUUUUUUUGAAAUUAAAGUACUUGCUUUUAUUCAAUUGAAUCGAUGAUUAACACAUCACGAAUACAAUCAGGAGGGUUAUCAACCCAUUUAUGAACGCCUGACAUAGAAUAAGUAGCCCGUGCCAACUCAUGAGCCACUACAUUCGCAGACCUCGGGACAUAGUCCACUAGCACUUCAUCAUAGUGCUUAAAUAACUUAAUACAAUCUAACACAAUCAAAUGAAAGUAGGUAUU
Molecule: long non-coding RNA, 1946 nt
Organism: Daucus carota subsp. sativus
Lineage: Eukaryota; Viridiplantae; Streptophyta; Magnoliopsida; Apiales; Apiaceae
Exons: 3
Source: RefSeq, a predicted model, not a curated record